This 2229-nucleotide ribosomal RNA is filed under the name Triticum aestivum (bread wheat). RNAcentral's name for it is "partial small subunit ribosomal RNA". Lineage: Eukaryota; Viridiplantae; Streptophyta; Magnoliopsida; Poales; Poaceae. The record is from RNAcentral.
AUGGCUGGACUUUUCAUGGGCGAGGAGAGCCAGGAGCGGAUGAAUCUACGGGUGACACGGGUCUUGGUGACUGUGAGCCACCUCGCGCAUCUUACCCUGGCCCAAUUAUCCGGGAUCCGUCGGCGUAGAGACUCCGGUGUGCGGAUGUCUCUGGUGUGGGUGGCGUACCACGUGACCGAGAUAAUCACGCCAAUCGCCCUCGGCAAGGUGUUUCUCGACACCGCGACCGCGGUUAGCGAGGAGCUGAUGUUUCUCCUGCUGCACCUUGGUCGCCCGGACAACAUCACCAGCUACGCCUUGGAGCACAAUGAGCUGUCGCCGACCCAAAAGGCUGCUCUCGUCCUUGAAAUCGGAGGAGCUAUCUAUGGCUCAUACAAGCAAAGAUUUAUGCGCGGCGAUGCGGCUCUACGCGCCACCUUCUUCAUCAUGCUCUUCUUGGGCUCCUAUAAGUACGUGGAGAGGGCGGUUGCGCUACGGCGAGCUUGCUUUGACAACAUUCGUCGCUCAGCCGGGAGAAAGAAGUUACGGCGCUUCACAUUUGAGGACGAAGGCCGCAAGUGGGAUAAUGAUGAUGCCCUGCUUGAUGCUCACGGCCUUCUCGGUGUCACCAUGGGUGCCUUCGCUGACUAUCAAGUCCACCGCAGGAGGUAUGUCCCAUCCUAUUCUGGCUGGAAGGGUGUGAGCGAGGUGGUUGAGAUGGAGGCGUCGCUCAUGUACGACAUGUUGUACACCAAGGCAAGUGUGAUCCGCACUUGGGCCGGCUACAUCAUCCGUGUCCUCUCACCGCCGGCAACUGCCACGACGCUCUAUCUCUUCCACAGUAAGGAGGGCAAUGCCAUGGAGAGUGCAGAUCGGACGGUCACAUACACCUUGCUUGUUGGUACCCUGGUGUUGGAUGUGAGAUGGCUGCUGAGAGCACUAGGGUCCACCUGGACAUAUGCGUUCUUGGUAGAGCAAGGGGAAGGAAAAGAAUGGCUGCUUCCGGUUCGACGGACCUUCCCGGACAAUUUGCCACGUCAAGCUGCAAUGCAAUCAUGGUAUUGCGUCCGUCGCCUCCUCGUCUCUCUGGAUAUGUCCCGUCUCUCACUGAGAAGCGGCCCGAGUGGCCAUAGGUUGUUGUCCGGCGCGGGGCAACACAACUUGUUGCAAGAGUGUUGUACCUGUACUCCUCCUCGCCCUCCGGGCCAACUGGAGAAGCUGGUCUAUUCUUUCUUCACUGGACUUGGGAAGAAGACUGAUGAUGUCAAGGAUGAGUUGUUGGAAGCUGUGUGUACACAAGUACUGCUGGAAUCUUGCACACUCGUCGGGAUGCGUCCCAUAAGGGAACUCGAUGAUUUUAUGAGGUCUAAUGCCAGUAACUAUAGUUUUGAAAGCAACCUCAUCGCCCUGCACGUCGCCACGGGUAUUUUCCUCUUGUGCAAGCCGACUUCGAUAAAAAGUGAAGCAUCAGCCAAAUACGAGAAGCAGAUACGAGCAAUAUCAGAUUACAUGAUGUUCCUCCUCGCUGAACGCCAGCACAUGGUAUUGAGACAGGGUGACGAGGGUGUCCACUACAAAAAGGCCCGCCUCGAUUUGGAGGAGAUAUGGAGUGAACGAGGAACCGACAAUUCUCCAACAAUAAGAGAGACCAAGCAGCUUGCCAACAUCCUUCUAGACAUGGAUGCCACUGAGGGCAGCUGCGUGCUUGGAAGAUCAAGUCAUCUUUAUGACAGAAACGAUACUCUCGGGCUUGGUGCUUACUGGGCCUUCAACCUGUUAGAUGAGCUAGAACCGGGAAAUUAUGGACGACAUCCGAUGCAGGGCCAAUACAUUCACAAACUUGAAGCUUUCAUCCCGGCAUUCACCGAUGAGGUACAAACAAAAGUUAGAGAGCAUAGGGACCGUGGGGAACAACCAGAACUCCUCGAUUGUAUGUUGCAGACCAUUCUUGUUUCAUGGGUACGUCUUCUCACCUUCACGUCCGACCAAUGCAGCAGGGAUUCCCAUGCCAAGCAGCUCAGCUGCGGCGGUGAGCUCUUAACCAUCGUCUGGCUGAUGAAUCGACAAAAUGAUGCACGGGCAAAGGGUACUGAAGAUCGAGACCAAGCGGCAACAGGUUCAGAUACUGUUCACCAUCCGGCAAGCGAGGAAGCAACGACAAGAACCAAGGCUUCGAGUGGGCCUGCGGCGCUGCCCACUCGAACCACGACGAAGCCCAGAUGGAACGACGGCCCAGAAUGGACUCGGUAG